GGAGAAGGGAAACGAGAGUAGGCACGGUCCUUGGGAGGUAUCCACCGUCUCUACAGGUGUGUCUGGCUCGGAGUAAUCGGGGUCGAGUAACAGGGACCGCUUCCAGGCCUCGCUGAAUAUCUUGAGAAGACUUGGCCUGUUGGUGUUUGAAAAGAACUCACGGUGGGGCACAGCCUUGACAGGGCAGCCAGUGGGGGGAUCUGGACUCUGGGCCCCCUUCUUGUGGGCUGUUUCCAGAGAGCUGGACCAGAUACCUUGUAUGUGAGCAGCAGACUGGACAUUACAGAUGGUAUUAGAUAACAAACUCAGGCGGACCUGGUGCAGGUUUUCCAGUUGAGCCACCUGAUCGGGGGUGGUGUGCCUGAAGCAUUGCCUGGCAAAGAAAUGAAGGUAAAAGUCUAUGCCCAUGAUCUUGCUAGAGUUUAUUUUCUCAGUAAUGAGAUGGUUUAGUCCCGCGUUAGAGAAGAUUUGCAACAUAUCACAGAUUGUUAUGUAGGUUGCGGACCAGGUCACGGGGGCAUGCAGCACGUAGAAGCAGAGGGUCGCAUACUCACUAAAAAAAGAAUCAGGGGGAUUGUGUUCCAGCACAGCUUCGAAAAGCAUGUUACAUAUCUUGCACUUGGAAGUGGGCAACAACGUGCUUGAGAUAUGAGUGAGUGUGGGAUCAUGAAAGCCUGUUUCUGGUGUGGCAGGUAGGUAGGAUUUAGAAAGUAACAUCUGCAUGAUUGAAUCGUGGGAGGUGACUGUCUCUAGAGACCAUGGUACGUACAUCUUCACCACUCGAUGGCGGCCAGUGUAUUUGAGAGGAAGGAUAGCUGUGUUAAAUACCUCCUGAGUCAUGGGGGGCAAUGGUGAUAGCUUUGCAUAUCCUCAGCUUUUAGAUUUUGAGGACAUAUUUACCGAGGACAUAGAUUCAUAUUUUUCCACAACCUAUGUAAAGUUUCACUUUUUGAACUACUGUAUCUUUUUGACCUGGUUUAUUAGUCAUAGGCACACUGAAAAGGGAUGUGUCCAUGGUCUUAUAUUUGACAGAAAGCUGUCAGCGGUCAGGGAUACCAUAUUGACCCUGGUGGACACUGAUCGGCUCAUAGACGGACAUGGCUAACCAGAAGAAGCUGAUAGACGAGCUCUGUGGGAUUGUUACUUCUUUUCUAUGUCCCCAGGGGAUUGUGCCAGAGAUUGAAAAAUGUUCUACAAAGCUGCCUCAUUUUUCUAAAGGUGGAACAAAGCCUGUGUGCACAGUGAGGCUCCAGCAUGGCCACACUUAUCACAUUGAGUUUGUGUACAAGUUUUGGCAGCACAUUUUGGGCCAGCUUCGCCUGCCCCUACAGCCUUGCUUUAUUUUGACAAAUAACGGCUUGGCCACCACUUUGAAAUGUUUUAUGAGCCCGCCAAGGGAUAUAGACUUUCAGUAUGGCAACAGGGUCAAUAUGGCCUGCGAUGUGAAUUUGGAGAAAAACUCUUGUGUUAUCAUAGAGGACGAGGAUUUCCUGAGGUUCAAGAGCUACCAUGUGUUUCCCAAGGACGUACCAAUCUAUAACUCUAUGGUGGUAUGUAGAACCUACAUCACUGAUAUGAGGAACGCAGUACAAUUUUUUGUGGUCAAGCCUGGAAACAGGAGAAAGAUUGUGCAUAUGUUGGAAAGUAUUGAGGAGAUGCCUGAAACCCCACAACAGUUGUAUUUUUGUGGUGGACGUGGGUAUAAGAUGAUAGGGGCUGGGCUCUCCCUCUUCUUUUUUGCAGCCAUAGUGGCGCUGGCCAGUAAACUAGUAUGGUGAUGGGGGCCUUGGACUAUCUGCGCUUGAUGAAUAUUUCAGUGGAUGAGUUUAGAAGCUUUUGUAUCUAUGGCCACCUCAGUGGGCAGCGUGGAUGGGGUGAGCUGUUGUUGAGCAAUCUUUCAUUUAAAAGAGCAGUGUGCCAUAUACUGAAAAUACAGUGUGAGACUAAGAAGAGGUGGACAAACAAGGUAUUGGUGGCGAAUAGUGCGUUGUCCCUACUGACCCUCUUCAGGAUGGUUCUUCAUGAAUGUGUUUUUUCACACAAAUAUUUUAUACCUGACAGGAUCGAGGACAUGUGUUUCCCGCUGACCAAAAUACUCACUGUGCCCUUCCUCAAGGCCCUAGAUCUGUAUCUCUCCCAGUUUUCCAUCUCAUGCAAGUUUCCCAUAAUUAAAAUAUCCACUGUGAAUCCUACCCUUCUGGCGUUUACCAAGAAGAAAUAUCUGGCUAGUGUUGUGUCUGAUCAACCCAUCGAGGUCCCUGCUCCAUCUGCCCGGCCUGAUCCUGUGAGGUUUACUGCUGCGGUGCCCUUAGCUUCUGAUGAGCAGUCUCUGGUGAAAGCUUUACAUUCCAGUACCGGGACAGUCCAGUGUGGAAAUCCAUUUUAUUAUAUGAUGACCAGACUUUGCUUGUAUGGACUAAUGCAUGGUAGGGGGGGAAUUGUGCCAGUUUCCAGCUCUAGUAAGCAGAGUGUAUAUGAUGUGGCUAUAAGAUUUAUAGGUUCUAGGAUAUUGAGCCCGAUAGUGAGGCUGCCAAUUUUAUCCAGGGCUUUGGCAGACCUGGCGCUGACGGGGCACGGUCAUCAGAUAACAGUGUGUAAUGAAUGUGGCCACUGUUUAAAUUUGGGCAGGGAUAAAUUUCUUGCAGUAAAUUUUUCCCCCACAAGUAUGUUUUAUUGCAGAGAUCAAAAGGAGAAACAGUUUAACAUAUGUGCUACAACUGGGAGGAUCUAUUGUUCAUAUUGUGGGGCGACAGAGUUUACAGUGUAUGACAUGGUGGGAAGGUAUGCUACGGGGGAGCCUUUUAUUAGGGCGGUUUCCUCAGCUAACUCCCUUAGUAUUUUAGAUAAUAGCGAACAGGAGUGUGAUAUACUGAUCCCUUGUUUUGGUAAAUCUAGGUCUUGCAGUAUUAAGCUGAGGGCGACAUUUAGGGAGCUACUUUAUUUGACAGCGUCUGUUGAUAAUUUUAUUUGUCAAAAGUGUUCCAAUAAGGGUGAUGAAUAAAGACAGGGU
Molecule: non-coding RNA, 3010 nt
Filed under: synthetic construct
Source: RNAcentral